GAGCGCACCCUUCGGGGUGAGCGGCGGACGGGUUAGUAACGCGUGGGAACGUACCUUUCGGUAAGGAAUAGCCUCUGGAAACGGAGAGUAAUACCUUAUACGCCCUUUGGGGGAAAGAUUUAUCGCCGAGGGAUCGGCCCGCGUUAGAUUAGAUAGUUGGUGGGGUAAUGGCCUACCAAGUCUACGAUCUAUAGCUGGUUUUAGAGGAUGAUCAGCAACACUGGGACUGAGACACGGCCCAGACUCCUACGGGAGGCAGCAGUGGGGAAUCUUGGACAAUGGGCGCAAGCCUGAUCCAGCCAUGCCGCGUGAGUGAUGAAGGCCUUAGGGUCGUAAAGCUCUUUCGCCAGGGAUGAUAAUGACAGUACCUGGUAAAGAAACCCCGGCUAACUCCGUGCCAGCAGCCGCGGUAAUACGGAGGGGGUUAGCGUUGUUCGGAAUUACUGGGCGUAAAGCGUACGUAGGCGGACCAUUAAGUUGGGGGUGAAAUCCCAGGGCUCAACCCUGGAACUGCCUCCAAAACUGCUGGUCUUGAGUUCGAGAGAGGUGAGUGGAAUUCCGAGUGUAGAGGUGAAAUUCGUAGAUAUUCGGAGGAACACCAGUGGCGAAGGCGGCUCACUGGCUCGAUACUGACGCUGAGGUACGAAA
This 648-nucleotide ribosomal RNA is filed under the name Phaeobacter inhibens. Its description in RNAcentral is "bacterial SSU rRNA". It matches the Rfam family "Bacterial small subunit ribosomal RNA", at positions 64 to 758 of the family's 1533-position model. Lineage: Bacteria; Pseudomonadati; Pseudomonadota; Alphaproteobacteria; Rhodobacterales; Roseobacteraceae. The record is from RNAcentral.